GGAGAUGAUAGAGGAUGGAAUUAAGACCGGCCGCAUUGCGAGUUUUGCAAUAUUGAAAGCGACUACUCAAGCAAUUCAAAAAGGUUUGGGAAGUGUUGGAGGGAAGAAAUAUGAGGAAGAUGCAUCUGUCAUUGUAGUUGGACUAUAGGCAUGGGUAAGAGGACUACACCAUCAUCACCCACAGGUUCAAACCCAAGCUUAUGCCUAAGCUCCACAGAAUCACUCCCAAAAUCCAUUAUACUCCAUUCCUCCGCCG
RNAcentral lists this long non-coding RNA (256 nucleotides) under Capsicum annuum. RNAcentral describes it as "long non-coding RNA (CANN_LNC013910)". Lineage: Eukaryota; Viridiplantae; Streptophyta; Magnoliopsida; Solanales; Solanaceae. The record is from RNAcentral.